UCUCUGUUGCUGACAGGUGGUCCAUCUUUCCCUCCUGCCCCCGCAGCCGCCCAACCGCGCUCCACGCACACCACCUGCUCCCGCUCAGAUCCCCCCUGACCCCUCACGCCCCCGCUUCCUCUCCUCUCCUCCUGCACGCCGCUCGCUCCCCGUGCGCCGUCGCCCGCAGUUUGCUCCAGCCUCCUCAAGCCACCCGCCUCUUGCGCCGAUCAUGUGCGUGCAGCGUUCCUCCCCUCAUCUACGUCUCUCGCAUCGCACCACCACCGCCACCACGCCGUCCUUCCCCAUCAGAACCAGCGUUCCUCCUCCUCCUGUUGCCCUCCUUGCUGCACCGGCCCUCCUCGAUCGUCCCUCUCCCCGUCGGCCGCCGGAUCCGAGCGGCCAUGCCGGUCACCGAUCUACUAGGUGGGCCUUGCCCCAAGUUUCUCACGUCCGCUUCGCCGCGUCGACCCCGAUCCCCCUAAUCACGCUAUUCCUUCGCCUCUCGAUCUCGACGAGCCAGCCAUUGACGUGCUUCAGCUGCGGGAGCAUCUGGGCGGCGCCAGCUCGCCCCUUUCCUCCACGCCUCCUCCCCUCUACCAUCCAGGCAACGCGGACAUCGUCGUCGGUGCCGCUGCGGCCGCUGCAGUACCCAGGCCCGUCCUCGGCUUCUCCUUCGCAGGGGACAUCCACCACUUUGGCGACGGGGACGACCUCGUAGCCGUGGGCCCGUGGCUACAGCCGCCGCCGGAUUCGCGGACUCGUCGAUGACGACCACGGCCAGCGGCGAGGAGACCAUGGCUAGGACCGGCUUGAGGUUGUAGAGGCCGAAGGCAGAGAAAUCGGAGGUGAGCACGGCGCUCACCCACGACGUAGCUCGGCCGCGACGACGACGGCCUCCUCGUCAGUGCCGGAGGCCGCCGUUCCGGCGUUGCUGGCCGUCGAGCGGUCCGGCGAGGCCGCAUAGGCGGCAGGCUUGUGGAGCGUGUCGGUGAUCACCGUGGUGGGGGAAAGCGCGGCGUGGAGGGCGACGAACUACUCGACGGCUGGCUGCGGGUUCUGCUCCUCUGCCGUGGAGCUCACCUCAGCGUACGAGCUGCUCCUGCUAACACAAUACAGGCAAGGCUAAUUAUGCUAAUGGCGACACAUGUGAUGUGAAAAAUAUUCUGUCCCCGUUGCAAUGCACGGACACAUAAAUUUUCAUUGGCUUCUCCACUUUGUCUUUGGUCGAUGGCCUCUCCAUGGUCGCCUAUUGGAUCUGCCUGCUCGGCGAGUGGAUGAGGGUCUUUGGGGCACCAGCGCUGUUGUCCAAUCCUCGUGGCGAUGAUUGCGUUUGUUCCCUCGACAAGCUCCUAAAGCACGAUGAGAAGGUCGCACAUGCAUGACCUUUUGUUUUAGAGGACUUUUACAGUACACCUAAAUGAGUGCAUACCGUCUAUUUUCUUCAUCUGGUGGCUUAGAUUAGUCCAAUAAUACUCUAUCGCCCAUCAGUAUCAUGGGUAUCAUUAAAGAGUAUCAUGGGUAUCAUAAGGGCAGGAUUGGGAAAAAAACUAUGAUAAACUUGUAAAUUAUAUGUUUAAUUAGGAAAGAUCAAAAUGUUAGUUUAUUCUUCGGAUAAGCUUUCACUUAUUCUGUUCAUUUCAUUUAUUAGGGUUUCCACCCUCCGUCGGUCAGUCAAUGACGUAAUUACCCCUAAGGGUAUCAAGAUAAUUACAAUAAUACCUACUAAAAUGGACGGUUGGAUCACAACAAUGAUACUCUCCAUCAUCUAAUAUCAUGGUGUACUGUAAAGGUUCUCUUGUUUUAUUGAUGACUCAUGACCUUUGGUUUUAUCCUUGCAAAUGAUCCGGAAUGAGGGGGAAGGGGGAGAAUCAGGAUUAGUAUUAGAUGAAGUGUUACUUAGAUUCUCCACGUGACAUAUGAUCUAGAUAUGCAUGCCAACAUGCCAUGAUCAUCGAAUUCACAAUUGCAAAUUGUAGUGCGAUGAAUUAUAUUAUGUAUAUCUUUGAAUUGACCCUGAGAAGCAAGGGAAUAAGUUCUGUAGAAUCGCCCCAACUGGAACCAUAAAUUUCCCCGGUAGCUUGGCAAUUAUCUAUUCAUUUUGUGUUUAUUUUUACUGCCAAGACAAAUUUGUUUGACAUGGAGUAGCCUCUGUUCCCAUCAGGUUAAUGCAAUCGGGGUAGUGCAAAGGUAGCGUGUUGCCAUCCUUGAGACCAAGCUAGAAGUUAACUUUGCGAGGGUUGCCAUCAGGUUAAGCUAGAAGUUAACUCUUCUACAUCUAAAUUUGUAACUGUCGCUAGGAAAAUUAUACAGGACAACGGUCACAUGAUAUAUGCUAGUCGACUUCUUCUCUUGUCUCCGGACGCGCCGAUAGUAAACAGAGGAUGUGGUAAUGACAGUAAACAAAAAGUUUCAGAUCGAGGAGGACCCAAAGAUGAUCUUGAUUUGGGUAGCGGCUCGAUCUCAUGUUCGGCGACAUGGAGCCAACAAUCUGCCGCUGUCGAGGAGCUGAUUCCAAGCGGAGGAGCUCAAUCCCAAUGGCAAGGAGCUGAUUCCAAGCGGAGGAGCUCAGAUCUGACGAGAAGAAAUCCCCAUCUAAUAUGUGGGGAUGGAUAGGAGGGAGGGAGAGGAACGAGAGGAGAGCAUCUGUGGAGGGAUCUGCGAGAGCAAGCGAGCAGGCAGAUGCGCUAGAUUCUAAUGUAAAGUGUGGUGCAGUGGGACCAUAUGGGCUGGUGACUCUGCGUGAUUAACGCCCGUAUGGGCGUAAAUUAGUUUUUACCUAAUUUAUUAGCAUACAUAUCUUUUCUUCCGUUGGAUAUUUGAACUGGCCUCCUUAUGUUUCUCCCAUUGGAUAUUCGGAUGUGACUUAACCUGGUACUGUAUUCAUGGAAACUCAUGCUUCAUGCCAUCAAUGAAAAUUUAUAUGCACGUGCUACAA
Phragmites australis (common reed) is the source of this 2917-nucleotide long non-coding RNA. RefSeq lists it as uncharacterized. NCBI's taxonomy places the organism in Eukaryota, Viridiplantae, Streptophyta, Magnoliopsida, Poales, Poaceae. The transcript has 3 exons. The record is from RefSeq and is a predicted model, not a curated record.